GCAAGUCGAGGGGUAUAGUUCUUCGGAGCUAGAGACCGGCGCACGGGUGCGUAACGCGCAUGCAAUCUACCUUUUACAGGGGGAUAGCCCAGAGAAAUUUGGAUUAAUACCUCAUAGUAUGUGAGAAUCGCAUGGUUUUCACAUUAAAGUCACAACGGUAAAAGAUGAGCAUGCGUCCCAUUAGCUAGAUGGUAAGGUAACGGCUUACCAUGGCAACGAUGGGUAGGGGUCCUGAGAGGGAGAUCCCCCUCACUGGUACUGAGACACGGACCAGACUCCUACGGGAGGCAGCAGUGAGGAAUAUUGGACAAUGGGCGCAAGCCUGAUCCAGCCAUGCCGCGUGCAGGAUGACGGUCCUAUGGAUUGUAAACUGCUUUUGUACAGGAAGAAACACUCCCUCGUGAGGGAGCUUGACGGUACUGUAAGAAUAAGGAUCGGCUAACUCCGUGCCAGCAGCCGCGGUAAUACGGAGGAUCCAAGCGUUAUCCGGAAUCAUUGGGUUUAAAGGGUCCGUAGGCGGUUUAAUAAGUCAGUGGUGAAAGCCCAUCGCUCAACGGUGGAACGGCCAUUGAUACUGUUAAACUUGAAUUAUUAGGAAGUAACUAGAAUAUGUAGUGUAGCGGUGAAAUGCUUAGAGAUUACAUGGAAUACCAAUUGCGAAGGCAGGUUACUACUAAUGGAUUGACGCUGAUGGACGAAAGCGUGGGUAGCGAACAGGAUUAGAUACCCUGGUAGUCCACGCCGUAAACGAUGGAUACUGGCUGUUGGGAGCAAUCUCAGUGGCUAAGCGAAAGUGAUAAGUAUCCCACCUGGGGAGUACGUUCGCAAGAAUGAAACUCAAAGGAAUUGACGGGGGCCCGCACAAGCGGUGGAGCAUGUGGUUUAAUUCGAUGAUACGCGAGGAACCUACCAAGGCUUAAUGUAGUUUGACCCGAUUGGAACAGAUCUUUCGUAAGACAAUUACAAGGUGCUGCAUGGUUGUCGUCAGCU
Molecule: ribosomal RNA, 990 nt
Filed under: uncultured Flavobacteriaceae bacterium
Lineage: Bacteria; Pseudomonadati; Bacteroidota; Flavobacteriia; Flavobacteriales; Flavobacteriaceae
Description: bacterial SSU rRNA
Rfam family: Bacterial small subunit ribosomal RNA
Source: RNAcentral